This 1225-nucleotide long non-coding RNA is filed under the name Homo sapiens (human). Its description in RNAcentral is "HSALNT0327014". The record is from RNAcentral. Lineage: Eukaryota; Metazoa; Chordata; Mammalia; Primates; Hominidae.
CUCUCUGUGUGGCAGGAUAUCUGCCAGUGAAUGAGUCUGUUGAAAUCACCACACCAAAUUCAACAUUAAGGGCCAACCCUGACCACAGCUGAGCCGUGUGAAGAGGCUGACAGCGGCGUGGCCACCACCCAGGAUGGAGAGAAAGGCACUGUGAGGUGUUAAUGGAAAAAUCCAACUUCCUUUUCUUCCAAAGAUGAUGACUGAAACCAAAGUGGAGCUUUCCCUUGUGAAGUGAAAGCAAAGUUUUAAAAUUUUUUCUCCUCUGCAAGAAAAUAUAUUUCAGAAAAUCUCUAUCUCAAAAAUGAAGCAAUUAAGAACUGUCUGGCUGUGAGGAUCUGGCCUCAACUUGACUUAAAGCAACAACUUCAGUUACAUAUCAAGAUGUGCGUGAGAAUGAACCUGCUCUGCUCAGCCAACGUGCUGAGUGACUUGAUGUUUGUAAUAAAUAAAUAAAUAAACAACAAACAGGUUGUCAUGAAAUAUCCUUUGUAAUUAUAAACACAGGAAACUUUCUGAGAUGCAAGUGGGUGUUAAAUGGUUCAGCAAAGCCAAGCCAGAGCAGUUGGUGUGCUUUGAAAUGAAGCAACAUUGGAAAAAUGAAAUCUACUGAAAGAUCACUACGUGUUUCAAAGGCCUUCAGACUCAGACUGGAACUGCACCGUUGGCUCUCCUGGGUGGGUCUCCAGCUUGCUGACCACAGACCUUGAGACUUCUCAGCCUUUAGAAUCAUGGAAGCCAAUUCCUUAUAAUAAUAUAUAUCCUUUUCCUAGUCUGUGGACUUUUCCCAGCUCCAGACAGACAACCUUCUAUAAACUCCAGGAUGCUCCAUCAAUGCCGUCUGGACUCUACAGAUUUUGACCCUGAAGUAAAGUAGGAAAGGCUAUGAGGACAUGUUAAAUGUUGUACUACCGCCUGAAGCCUUUUCUUCUUUAAAUUUUUCAACAAGAGUUGAAUGCACACGUGGAGCUUAAUUGGACAACAACUUUUCUCCUCUUCUGUGGGAUCCCGUCAGUGCUUUAAGCAAUGAGAAGGCAGCUCAUUUCCAAGUUUGUGUGGUAAAUUUGGGGCAAGUGGGAGAAAAGAAAGAAAGGCUGAGUCUUAUAGGGUGUGAUUUGGUUCUAGACAUGCUUAUGUUACUUUUUAUAAGAUUAUCCAUUUGACUAGAUUUCUUUCCUGCUGACAAAAGAGGCAAUUUCUACAUAUAAAAUAAAUCUGAUUAAAACUC